RNAcentral lists this ribosomal RNA (274 nucleotides) under uncultured bacterium. RNAcentral describes it as "partial 16S ribosomal RNA". It matches the Rfam family "Archaeal small subunit ribosomal RNA", at positions 473 to 747 of the family's 1478-position model. The record is from RNAcentral.
AAACCAGCACCUCAAGUGGUCAGGAUGAUUAUUGGGCCUAACGCAUCCGUAGCCUGCUUUGUCAGUUUUCGGUUAAAUCCAUACGCUCAACGUAUGGGCUGCCGGAAAUACUGCAAAGCUAGGGAGCGGGAGAGGUAGACGGUACUCGGGAGGAAGGGGUAAAAUCCUUUGAUCUCUCGAUGACCACCUGUGGCGAAGGCGGUCUACCAGAACACGUCCGACGGUGAGGGAUGAAAGCUGGGGGAGCAAACCGGAUUAGAAACCCGGGUAGUCC